GGUGGGGUGGCUGAGCGGUUGAAAGCGGCAGUCUUGAAAACUGUUGUGGGCGUUACGUCCACCGAGAGUUCGAAUCUCUCCCCCACCG
Molecule: transfer RNA, 88 nt
Filed under: Candidatus Omnitrophota bacterium
Lineage: Bacteria; Pseudomonadati; Candidatus Omnitrophota
Description: tRNA-Ser
Rfam family: tRNA
About the family: Transfer RNA (tRNA) molecules are approximately 80 nucleotides in length. Their secondary structure includes four short double-helical elements and three loops (D, anti-codon, and T loops). Further hydrogen bonds mediate the characteristic L-shaped molecular structure. tRNAs have two regions of fundamental functional importance: the anti-codon, which is responsible for specific mRNA codon recognition, and the 3' end, to which the tRNAs corresponding amino acid is attached (by aminoacyl-tRNA synthetases). tRNAs cope with the degeneracy of the genetic code in two manners: having more than one tRNA (with a specific anti-codon) for a particular amino acid; and 'wobble' base-pairing, i.e. permitting non-standard base-pairing at the 3rd anti-codon position.
Source: RNAcentral